This 443-nucleotide ribosomal RNA is filed under the name uncultured bacterium. Its description in RNAcentral is "partial 16S ribosomal RNA". It matches the Rfam family "Bacterial small subunit ribosomal RNA", at positions 338 to 795 of the family's 1533-position model. The record is from RNAcentral.
CCUACGUGGGGCAGCAGUGGGGAAUAUUGGGCAAUGGGCGCAAGCCUGACCCAGCAACGCCGCGUUAAGGAAGAAGGCUUUCGGGUUGUAAACUUCUUUUCUCAGGGACGAAGAAAGUGACGGUACCUGAGGACUAAGCCACGGCUAACUACGUGCCAGCAGCCGCGGUAAUACGUAGGUGGCAAGCGUUAUCCGGAUUUAUUGGGUGUAAAGGGCGUGUAGGCGGGAGCGCAAGUCAGAUGUGAAAACUCAGGGCUCAACCCUGAGCCUGCAUUUGAAACUGUGUUUCUUGAGUGCUGGAGAGGCAAUCGGAAUUCCGGGUGUAGCGGUGAAAUGCGUAGAUAUACGGAGGAACACCAGUGGCGAAGGCGGAUUGCUGGACAGUAACUGACGCUGAGGCGCGAAAGCGUGGGGAGCAAACAGGAUUAGAUACCCCAGUAGUC